RNAcentral lists this ribosomal RNA (1850 nucleotides) under Wolbachia sp. wRi. RNAcentral's name for it is "bacterial LSU rRNA". It matches the Rfam family "Bacterial large subunit ribosomal RNA", at positions 1 to 1994 of the family's 2925-position model. RNAcentral also lists the same sequence under 1 other name. Lineage: Bacteria; Pseudomonadati; Pseudomonadota; Alphaproteobacteria; Rickettsiales; Anaplasmataceae. The record is from RNAcentral.
AUAAAUAAAUUAUUAAGAGCACUUGAUGGAUGCCUUGGCGUUAAGAGGCGAUGAAGGACGUGGCAGGCUGCGAUAAGCUGUGGGGAAUUGUCAACAAAUUUUGAUCCGCAGAUUUCCGAAUGGGGAAACCCAACUAGUUUAGCUAGUUAUUACGUACUAAGUAUGUAAAGCAAACUUGGUGAACUGAAAUAUCUAAGUAGCCAAAGGAAAAGAAAUCAACCGAGAUUCUGUUAGUAGUGACGAGCGAAAGCGGAAAAGGCUAGUGAUUUAAGAAUAAGAAUUAGAAUACUCUGGAAAUAGUAACCAUAGAAGGUGAUAGUCCUGUAUAAGUAGAAAGUUUUUAAAUCCUUGAGUAGAGCGGGGCACGUGAAAUCCUGUUUGAAUAUGGGGGGACCAUCCUCCAAGCCUAAAUACUCCUUAACGACCGAUAGUGAACAAGUACCGUGAGGGAAAGGUGAAAAGAACCCCGGGAGGGGAGUGAAAUAGAAUCUGAAAUCAAGUGCUUACAAACAGUUGGAGCUCUAUAUCAAUUUAUUGAUAUUUAGAGUGACAGCGUACCUUUUGCAUAAUGGGUCAGCGAGUUAAUCUAUGAAGCAAGCUUAAGCCGUUAGGUGUAGGCGUAGCGAAAGCAAGUCUGAAUAGGGCGUUUUAGUUUUAUGGAUUAGACCCGAAACCAAGUGAUCUAGUCAUGACCAGAUUGAAGGUGUGGUAAAACACACUGGAGGAUCGAACCAGUUAAUGUUGCAACAUUAUUGGAUGAGUUGUGAUUAGGGGUGAAAGGCCAAUCAAACUUGGAAAUAGCUGGUUCUCCGCGAAAUCUAUUUAGGUAGAGCGUUGUAUGUAUGUUGUUGGGGGUAGAGCACUGGAUAGACUAGGGGGAUUCACCGUCUUACCAAAUCUAACUAAACUCCGAAUACCAACAAUUAAUUAUACAGCAGGCACACUACGGGUGCUAAGUCCGUGGUGAAGAGGGAAACAACCCAGAUCACUAUCUAAGGUCCCAAAAUUACAGCUAAGUGGGGAAGGAAGUAGAAAAACCAUUACAGCUAGGAGGUUGGCUUGGAAGCAGCCAUCCUUUAAAGAAAGCGUAACAGCUCACUUGUCUAAAUAAGUUUUUCUGCGCCGAAAAUGUACCGGGGCUAAAGCUGUAUACCGAAGAUGUGAGUGCUUAUUGAUUUCGAUCAAUAGGCGCGGUAGCGGAGCGUUCCGUAAGUCUGUGAAGGUGGUUUGUGAAAACUGCUGGAGAUAUCGGAAGUGAGAAUGCUGACAUAAGUAGCGUAAAAGAGUGUGAAAAACACUCUCACCAAAAAUCUAAGGGUUCCUACGUUAAGUUAAUCUGCGUAGGGUUAGUCGGUUCCUAAGGCGAGUCCGUAAAGGAGUAGUCGAUGGCAAUUAGGUUAAUAUUCCUAAACCUCUUAAGUGUGACGGGUUUCGUAUUUGUAUAGAUCUUAUUGGAUUGAUCUAUGCUUAAAAGAAGCUCCAGGAAAUAGCACUUAUAUUUAUGAGGCCGUACCGCAAACCGACACUGGUGGAUGAGUAGAGUAUACUAAGGUGUUGAAAGAAUGAUGUUGAAGGAACUCGGCAAAUUAUACCUGUAACUUCGGAAGAAGGGUAACCUGCUUUUAGGCAACUAUGAGUAGGUGGCACAAAAUAGGGAGUAGCGACUGUUUACUAAAAACACAGGACUCUGCAAACACGUAAGUGGAAGUAUAGGGUCUGACGCCUGCCCGGUGCUGGAAGGUUAAUAGGAAGGGUGCAAGCUCCGAAUUGAAGCCCCAGUAAACGGCGGCCGUAACACUGACGGUCCUAAGGUAGCGAAAUUCCUUGUCGGGUAAGUUCCGACCCGCACG